CGCGGCCUAUCAGCUUGUUGGCGAGGUAACGGCUCACCAAGGCAACGACGGGUAGCUGGUCUGAGAGGAUGGCCAGCCACAUUGGGACUGAGAUACGGCCCAGACUCCUACGGGAGGCAGCAGUGGGGAAUAUUGCACAAUGGGCGCAAGCCUGAUGCAGCGACGCCGCGUGGGGGAUGACGGCCUUCGGGUUGUAAACCUCUUUCACCAUCGGCGAAGCCGGGAGCUUUUGUUUCCGGUGACGGUAGGUGGAGAAGAAGCACCGGCCAACUACGUGCCAGCAGCCGCGGUAAUACGUAGGGUGCGAGCGUUGUCCGGAAUUACUGGGCGUAAAGAGCUCGUAGGUGGUUUGUCGCGUUGUCCGUGAAAUUCCCUGGCUUAACUGGGGGCGUGCGGGCGAUACGGGCAGACUGGAGUACUGCAGGGGAGACUGGAAUUCCUGGUGUAGCGGUGGAAUGCGCAGAUAUCAGGAGGAACACCGGUGGCGAAGGCGGGUCUCUGGGCAGUAACUGACGCUGAGGAGCGAAAGCGUGGGGAGCGAACAGGAUUAGAUACCCUGGUAGUCCACGCCGUAAACGGUGGGUACUAGGUGUGGGUUUCCUUCCUUGGGAUCCGUGCUGUAGCUAACGCAUUAAGUACCCCGCCUGGGAGUACGGA
Molecule: ribosomal RNA, 657 nt
Filed under: uncultured bacterium
Lineage: Bacteria
Description: bacterial SSU rRNA
Rfam family: Bacterial small subunit ribosomal RNA
Source: RNAcentral